UUUGAUCCUUGGCUCCAGGACGAACCGCUGGGCGGCGUGCCUUACCACAUGCAAGUCGAGCGGAGUUACACACCGGAAAUCCCUUCCGGGGGUGGAAGGAGUAUAACUUAGCGGCGGACGGGUGAGUAACGCGUGAGCAACCUUUCCUUCACUGGGGAAUAACACAUUGAAAGAUGUGCUAAUACCGCAUGAAACCAUAGAGUCGCAUGGCUUAAUGGUCAAAGAUUUAUCGGUGAGGGGUGGGCUCGCGUCCCAUUAGCUAGUUGGUGAGAUAACAGCUUACCAAGGCAACGAUGGGUAGCCGACCUGAGAGGGUGAUCGGCCACACUGGGACUGAGACACGGCCCAGACUCCUACGGGAGGCAGCAGUGGGGAAUAUUGGGCAAUGGGGGAAACCCUGACCCAGCAACGCCGCGUGAAGGAAGAAGGUUUUCGGAUCGUAAACUUCUGUCCUCAGUGAAGAGUAGAAGACGGUAACUGAGGAGGAAGCCCCGGCUAACUACGUGCCAGCAGCCGCGGUAAUACGUAGGGGGCAAGCGUUGUCCGGAAUGAUUGGGCGUAAAGGGCGCGUAGGCGGCCUGUUAAGUCUGGAGUGAAAGUCCCGCUUUCAAGGUGGGAAUUGCUUUGGAAACUGAUGGGCUAGAGUGCAGGAGAGGUUAGUGGAAUUCCCGGUGUAGCGGUGAAAUGCGUAGAGAUCGGGAGGAACACCAGUGGCGAAGGCGACUAACUGGACUGUAACUGACGCUGAGGCGCGAAAGUGUGGGGAGCAAACAGGAUUAGAUACCCUGGUAGUCCACACUGUAAACGAUGAAUGCUAGGUGUAGGAGGUAUCGACCCCUUCUGUGCCGGAGUAA
Molecule: ribosomal RNA, 854 nt
Filed under: uncultured bacterium
Lineage: Bacteria
Description: bacterial SSU rRNA
Rfam family: Bacterial small subunit ribosomal RNA
Source: RNAcentral